UUUUUCUUGCGGAGUAAGUUGACUGUGUUGCUACUUUCUUGAUGCUAGGAAGACUGUAUAAAUGUUAUGUUUAACUUUUUCUUGUUCUUUUUCUAUCUGUCUUUUCCAGAGAGGUCAACUUGCAGGAACAUAUGCAUUUGGAACUUUUUACUAUUUCACACUACUAAAAUGAGAUUCUAGUGUAAUAUUUGUUAUCAAAUUUUAGUGCUUGUUCAUUACUUCAUUAGACUGUUAUAUUAAGAAUAGAUUGCUUGAAUAAAUAACUAUGUUUUUAUGUUCACGCAGCUGACAGAUCUUCUGGCUUUUCUGUAAGGUACCCUUUUAUAUGCGUUGAAUUAUGAAAUACAAGUCUAAAUGAUAGAAUUUACCUGUGAGCUUUCCAGUUGUCGAGGUGAACUGAUUAGUUAACUAAAUGCAGUGGAAUUGAAAGGGAAUUUUUUUUCUGUGGCAGCUGAGGUUGGUCCAUGGCGCAAAACUGGUUGUCUAGGUAAUGUUCAAUUGCCCCCACCUAUGGUUUUCAGUUGUUUAAAUGACCAAUUAUUGAAGUUUUAUCUUUCUAAUCUUAUGAUUCAUUUAAUUUAAUUUGUAGGCGAAUGGGCACAAAGUGAUGUCUGUCUAUCCACAUUAUGAUGUCUUGGCAUACUUUUGUCUUUGUUGAGGUUUAACUCUUAAUCUCCAAGUCGAAUUUCUUAAUUGCUUUUCUUUCAAGAUUCAAUUAAAAUAAUGAUGAUCUUAUUACAUAUUAAUGUCCGAGAUAAACUGGAGACGGUUAAGUAGAGAAUAAGAUCUCGUCAAUUUGCUGAUAUAUGUAAAUUAUUUUGGGUGUAGCUUUAUUGAAUAAGACCUUUUAAUUUUGCAGGGAAUUAUAAUUUUGCAGAGAAGUAUUAAGUUUUUAUUGAUCAAAUGCAUCCUAUCAAGUUCGAAGUUGGAUAUUUUUAGCACGUGUUUGGAAGA
This 954-nucleotide long non-coding RNA is filed under the name Erythranthe guttata (spotted monkey flower). RNAcentral's name for it is "long non-coding RNA (EGUT_LNC003806)". Lineage: Eukaryota; Viridiplantae; Streptophyta; Magnoliopsida; Lamiales; Phrymaceae. The record is from RNAcentral.